This 433-nucleotide ribosomal RNA is filed under the name uncultured bacterium. RNAcentral describes it as "partial 16S ribosomal RNA". It matches the Rfam family "Bacterial small subunit ribosomal RNA", at positions 29 to 507 of the family's 1533-position model. The record is from RNAcentral.
AACGAACGCUGGCGGCAUGCCUAACACAUGCAAGUCGAACGAGACCUUCGGGUCUAGUGGCGCACGGGUGCGUAACGCGUGGGAACCUGCCCUUAGGUUCGGAAUAACUCCCCGAAAGGGGUGCUAAUACCGGAUAAUGUCUUCGGACCAAAGAUUUAUCGCCUUUGGAUGGGCCCGCGUUGGAUUAGCUAGUUGGUAGGGUAAAAGCGUACCAAGGCGACGAUCCAUAGCUGGUCUGAGAGGAUGAUCAGCCACACUGGGACUGAGACACGGCCCAGACUCCUACGGGAGGCAGCAGUGGGGAAUAUUGGACAAUGGGCGAAAGCCUGAUCCAGCAAUGCCGCGCGAGUGAUGAAGGCCUUAGGGUUGUAAAGCUCUUUUACCCGGGAUGAUAAUGACAGUACCGGGAGAAUAAGCUCCGGCUAACUCCGUG